This 479-nucleotide ribosomal RNA is filed under the name uncultured bacterium. Its description in RNAcentral is "partial 16S ribosomal RNA". It matches the Rfam family "Bacterial small subunit ribosomal RNA", at positions 28 to 507 of the family's 1533-position model. The record is from RNAcentral.
GAUGAACGCUGGCGGCGUGCUUAACACAUGCAAGUCGAACGAAGCACCUUGAUUUGCUUCUUCGGAUGAAGAUCUUGGUGACUGAGUGGCGGACGGGUGAGUAACGCGUGGGUAACCUGCCUCAUACAGGGGGAUAACAGUUAGAAAUGACUGCUAAUACCGCAUAAGACCACAGCACCGCAUGGUGCAGGGGUAAAAACUCCGGUGGUAUGAGAUGGACCCGCGUCUGAUUAGGUAGUUGGUGGGGUAACGGCCUACCAAGCCGACGAUCAGUAGCCGACCUGAGAGGGUGACCGGCCACAUUGGGACUGAGACACGGCCCAAACUCCUACGGGAGGCAGCAGUGGGGAAUAUUGCACAAUGGGGGAAACCCUGAUGCAGCGACGCCGCGUGAGCGAUGAAGUAUUUCGGUAUGUAAAGCUCUAUCAGCAGGGAAGAAAAUGACGGUACCUGACCAAGAAGCACCGGCUAAAUACGUG